RNAcentral lists this long non-coding RNA (21677 nucleotides) under Gossypium barbadense (sea-island cotton). RNAcentral's name for it is "long non-coding RNA (GBAR_LNC023414)". Lineage: Eukaryota; Viridiplantae; Streptophyta; Magnoliopsida; Malvales; Malvaceae. The record is from RNAcentral.
AGAAUAAAAUGUAUGCAAACCUCAUGAACAGUGGAUCCAGGGAAUGCAUGUGAAGCAUCUUUUAAAUCAACCCCAGCAUAAGUAUAUUCCAAAAAUUGCCAGUAUUCAUCAAUGGCAUCUCUGUUUGAGAGAACAAACUCAUGUCUGAUCAUCUCAUCCAUAACAUGUCUGUCUGGGCAAAGAUCAAGAGAUCCAAAAUUUGAACAUGCUAUGAGUAAUGUUGGUUCCUCUAUAUAAGGCUUAAGCUCCAGGGAAUAGACAGGACUGGCAUGCAAAGAAGUGACUCCAUCAUCAGAACUUCCGCUAUUUACCCGCCGAAUCAACUAUGCAUAAGUAUCAAAGUUUAGGCUUGAUACUAGGAAUAUAUAUAUAAUAAAAGAAUAUAAAGGAGUUGACUGAAAAAGAAUUUGUAAAUGAAUGAUAAUUUAUGCUUUCAAAUCUAAGACAAGUGGUGUACAGCAUGUAACAAUCUAUUAAUCAUCAUAGUAUAUAUAGCUCUAUAACAACCUAUACAAUGUUUACUUUUCCAUAUAUCUAGAAGUAGCACAUCGUUGAGUACUAGAAUUGUCAAAAAUGUUCAUUUCAUGAAUCUAAAAGUAAAUAGCAUCAACAUACAUAAUCAUCUUAAUGUUGCUGUUAACUAGAUUUGAUUCUGUUCUCUCCACAAUUCAAGGGUAAGCACUAAGCAGUAUGGUUUUGAUGUUUACAUAAUCAUCUCAAAUUCUUUCAUUGGUGAGUCAAUCAAGCAUGUGAUGACCCAAACCAUCUAUUUAAGAGAUUGGUUGGUAUCUACACCAAGGCAUUAGUAUCAAAUUCAGAUAUUCAGAAAGCUAAACCAAACAAGAUCCAAUAAUAUGAUACAUGAAAAAUAUAGAGACAAAAUAUUAACAUAAUAAAUAUAUUUUUAAACGUAAGCAAGGAGUUAUACCUUCAGCCGCUGUAAAAUAGAUACAAGCAAAGAAAGUCUCCUGAUAGCUGAAGUAUCAUAUAGCUCAUUAUACUCUUCAUUAGAAAGAUCACGUAAAUAUACUCCCUUCUCAACUAUAACAGAAGAUCCGACAACUUGAAAGAAUAGCUCAAGUGGAAUUCCCUUGAUAGCUCCUUCAACAUCAAAUGUGACACAAAGAUUAUGUAGAUCAUGAUCUUGUCUCCCAUAUGAUAAAACAUCAUCCCCAGCAGAUAAACUACAUGCAUAGUCCCAGAGAAAACCAUGCAACAGCCUUGCUCGAACCAUUUUUCCACGUAUGUAUCCAUUAGCCUGCAUGGCUUCCAUUCUAAGAGUCAGGGAAUUUGAACUAUAUUGAGUUCGAGCUCUUUGCAUAAUCAAAUAUAUGAAACUGAGUUAUUAUUCUUGUUCUUGAAUGGGUCAUGAGUUCGCUUGUGAAAAGAUUUGAGUUUAUUACGAAUUAUACCAAUUACUUCAGAAGAUAAACUCUGAAUAGAUGGAUGCAGGACCACCUUAACUUUACGGUUAAAGUUAGUAUUCAUAAUCCCAUUUAAAUCUAGGUGUAUACAUUUGCAGUGCCCUUCGUUUUCAAGCUUAUACAACAUUUUGUCUACAGUUCUCCUGCCCAUUGUAGUACCUUUGUCUUUCUCUAGAUUCACAAGUAACUUAUAUAGCUCUGAUCUCAAGGACAAUUUUUUCAGCCUGCAUUGGUUUACACACAAAUGCACACAGAACGAAUAGCAGUUUAAUUAUAUAAUACUAAUUAGAGGGACAAAAACCUAUUCCCUCAAGCGUGAGAGAUGAAUACCAUGUAAUCGUUUGAGUAUUCUCUGCUCUCAUCUGUUGCCUAUCACCUGUCGAAACUGACAGAGUUUAAGCUUUUUCAUAGAAUAAUUGCUGUGCUUAAAAACGUUGCUCUUGUUUCAGGAUUAACUCUUGUGUUUGCACGUAUUGGGAGACACUAUAGCUUGCCUCACUAUCUCUUGGAGAGGGGAAAGAAGAGAGCCUUAUUUUAUUCUCAUGUGUUGUUUGUCUUCCAAAGCGUAUCACUUCAAAAUUCCAGAGAUGAGAGAUUUGGGCUGAUCCUAUCUAAAAUACUAGGAUUGCCACCCAAACUUGACUUUUUUGUUUGGAAUUAGAUUAGAAGAUUCACUGUUCCUGGAUGUCCGAUUCUGUAUUCAUGGCCUUAUAUGAAGUUCCAUCUGCAUCGGCAUCCCAAAUCUACUGCUCACUGAAAAACAGUUUCUGCGAUUCGUCUUCUUAUUAAUUCCAAACCUCUUGCCUACCUGUUUCAACAACAAAAUUUAUGAAAAGGUCUUAGAUUUAGAGUAAAACUUUGUACAUUUGUAGGAAUCUACAUUGUGAAAAUCUAAAAAGGAGCAUAAAUGUCACAGAAACAGACUGGCAAAGAGAAAUUUCUGUUUAGGGCAAAUAGUUCAGAAAAUAUAGUAGAUAUAACUUAGUGGGAGUAUGAUUGCUAAUUGAACUUUUCUAUGAUUCUUGAAAUAUAGAGAUAUAAAUAUAAGACUCUUUGGCAAACCUCUGUAAUAAGCAUCCCUUUGGAUCCUGUAGCAUCAAUUGUAUCGUAAUCUGAUGAUCAAUGGGAAGCUCCACAAGCUGUUAGCCAUUUGACAUCUUCCAAAUUUGAACUCUUUGCCUUCAACACAUCUGUUUGUAUUUCGCUCAUAAUCCAAAGGGCAAAACUUUUUUAGCAAAUGUAGGCAAGGCUCAUCCUGUAAGAACAAGCAUGUUCAUGCAUAAUUUUCAGAAACGGAUAUCUCCAUGAAAUAGGAAAAAGUUUGUCGAAACAUUGUAAGCAAAACCAUCUCACAAUUAUAUCAUAGGCAUAAUGAAGUGAAAAAUUAUACUCUCGAAAUAAACAAUCUAUAAACUAAACAACAAGAGUACUCUAAAUCAUAAAAAUGCAGAAGUUAUCAACUAACCUUCCCAUUCACUUUUACAGUAGUCUCCUCUACUAAACCAGCAUUUAUCAAUCUGCAAUAUAUCUAUAAGAAAAAUUUGCAGAUGAAGAAAUAGAUGGAAACCAUUAAGAACAAAUCAUCAAGAUAAUUUUAAAACACACACAACAUCAACAACAAAAACAACAACAAAUGUACUUUCUUCCAUUCAUGUCUCGCGUUCUGUGACCCAAAAUAGCCAAGGUCACGUUUAAUACCUGAAAUGACAAGAACCUAACAAGAAAAAAAAAGGAGAAUUCAAACAAACAUCAGUAUAAUUUAUCAAAAGAAAAUAAAGCUAUCUGUCAAUCUUUUAAGCCAUAAAAGACCUUGCCAUGAGUUUCUUCAAGUUUAUCACAGAUAGUUUUAAUUGAUGGUAAAUAAUCAUUAUAAGCACAUCCUCCGAAUCCUCUUUGCCGAUACUUCCUUCAUCUUUGGUAACCUCGAAUUUCUCUUGAGAUCCCAAAUGCUUUGCAUAACGGUAUAAAUGAAUUAACCUUGUGGGCUAACUUUUGUUUGCUGCUUCCUCUUGUUUUCCUCAACUGCUUCUUGUCUUACGAUUAAGCCUCUUUUCUCAAGCUUCCUUACCACAUAGAAAAAUCUAUUUUCUUCGAUUCCAAAUUCCUUGCUAAGCUGAUUUUGAGUUAUUCCAUUUGCUCUACAAACACACAAUUAAAAUAUUAAUAAUAAUAACAAUAAAAGACAUUCGUCAGCAAUGUCAUAUCAUCCUUUUAAUAUACAAGAUUUCAAUCUACAUUUGUUGUUUUUACUAUCUGUUGUUAAUAUCACACCUAUUUCAGAUUUGGUAUAGUUGGAAUAUAUAACACAAUGGAAUAUUCAACACAAACAGCUACAAACGAGGAUUUUUGUCAUUCACAGACGUUAACUACUUCCAAUUUUGAAUUAUUUUAAACGUUAAUAACUAACUCUUUUUAGUGAUCUUUUUAUAUAGAUUUUCAGCCUUUUAUUUUUGAAGAAAAAUCAAAAAGAGUAUCCAAACGGAAUCACAGCUAAUAAUCACCAAAAUUUAAAAAGAACCUGAAGUUAAAGCAAAAUUGAAGAAGAAUUAAAGGAACAAUAUUCAAAUUAACCUUGCAGAGGCAAUGCGUUGAAGAACGAAUCUUGUUGAUUAACCUCUUUUUCUCCAUCUCCAAAAGAAAAAUCAUAACCACCUAAAAAAAUUAUCACAUAAUUUGUUCUUAGCAACAAUAAUUAAAUCCAGCUUUUCCGUAUCCUCAAAGCGUCGAACCAAAGGAUCAUUGUGAUCGUAAACACGAUCACGCUUUCGGAACUGAACCGCCGGAAUUUCGAGUAGGUUAGCCCAUAAGGCUCGUCUAAUUUCGACGCUCAAACCGAGCUUCGAACAGAGAGAAGAUUAAUGCAACGCCAUCACGACCUUUUGAACAGAUUUCUUCGAGAGCUGAUGAUAUGAUGGCAUCCAUCGAUUGGAAUUUUCGGCUGUGAUCAACACAACAGUUUUUUUCUUUGAAGAAAUUGAAUUCAAAGGGCGAAUGUAAUGGAGAAUUGGCGGGAAGUGACGCCGACGUGGAGAAAGCGGUUAAAAGGAGUAUAGAGUACAACUCUAAACAGGAGGCGACUGCGAAUCGGGUACCCGAAAUAAAAAAUUAAAUAACAUUUUUAUUUUAUAUUAAUUCUUAUAAUUAAAAUUAAAUAAAGGUUAAAUCACUAUUUGGGACCUGAACUUGGUAACCUUUUUUCACAUUAUGGCCUGAACUCUUUUUUUGUCCAAAUUAAAGCCCUAAACUUGGUAAUUAUUUCCAUAUUGGGGUUUGAACUAGGCAACUGUUUUCACAUUAGGGUUUAAACUUUUUUUUUCUAAAUUAGUUCUUGAACUUGGCAAUUGUUCCCAUAUUAGAGCCUUUAAAUUGGCAAUUACUCGUCUGAACUUUAAGGUUUUCAAGGAUUAACUUAAAAAAAAAGUUUAAGCCCUAAUGUGAAAACAAUUACCAAGUUUAAGGCUUAACUUGGAUAAAAAAAACUUAGGCGCAAAAAGUUAUUUAACCCUUUACGUAAUUCAUUGAAUAAAGAGCUGAAAUUAAAAAAAAAAAGUACCUCAAAAUUCAAAAAAUUAUAAAACAUUAAAAAAAAUAAAAAUGACUUUGAAUUUAAAAAAAUAUUCAUAAAAAUAAAAAAAAUAUCAUAAAUUACAUGUGAAAAUAAAAAAUUUAAUAAGGGUAUUAGAUUUUAGUUUAUUUGAAAUUUUACGAAAUUAGUAAAUUAUUAAAAUUACAUUUAUUCAAACUAUGAAAAAUAUUAAAAUUAUGAAAAAUAAAUAUAGAUAAUGACAAUGUAUCAUGGGCAAAGGGGAGUAAACUAUAUCUAUUUAUAGACUUGUAAAACUAGAUUCUAAUACAAUGAGUGUAGUAAGAUUGCAACACCUUAUUCUAAUCAAUAUUAAAUAAAUAAAGUUUAAUAAAGUUGAAAAAUAUUAUUCUAAAAUAAAAUAAAAGAAAUGUAGUUCUAUAUAAAUUUUACUUUUAUUUUAUUUUAUCACUGUAUUUUAUUUUAAUAAGAAUUCGGAUCACUCAAUUUUAACAUAAACAAAUCCAUAGACUUUAAGAUAGAAAAAUCUCAACUACUAUUUCAAGAGAAUAUUAUUUUAUUUAGAUAAAAUCAUAAAUACAUCUAUUUCUCUAAAAUUUCUUUCGCCCAACAAAAAUAUCCGAAGUUUUGUGAAUCUACUAAAUUGGGUUAACCCAAAUCACUUUAAAUACAAGAAGUCAAAUGGGCGAAUUGAUUCAAGUGAAGAGAAAGGGGUUGAACUGGUAAUAUCUAUUUUUUUUUGAAAAAGAGAUAAGAUAUUUCGACACAAUGACAUCUUGAUACCACGAGGAACAAGUAAAAUAAACUCUUGAAGAAUAAAAAAAAUGAAAAUUUGAAUCUAUGUCCAAUGGAUCACACCUACUAAGAAAAAGUAUUUUAUUUUAGUUCGACCUGUAAUCCCAUAUGAAAUAUCGGAUAGUCUGAAUUUAACAACACUCUUCCUCCAAGAUCCAUUUCGAGAAAAGAUAAUAUGCAACUUCGAGCUGUCAAUUAUAUCCUGUAUGAAAAUGGCAAAUCGAUUCGAAGAAUUUCUAAUACAAGGAUUCAACUAGUGCGGACUUGUUAGUGUUGAGUUGAGACCAAUACAACAAAAGUUCUUCCACCGAAGAGGUCUAUACUUCCUUUGUUGAAGUAAGGACAAAUGAUCUAAUUCGAUAUUUUCUAAAAAUCGACUUAGUGAAAAUUCAAUCUUUUUAAAUAAUAAAAGAAAUGAUCCGUCAUGUUCAAAACUGUAAGAAUUGCCUGUUUGUGGUGUGUGUUUAACUGUAAUUCGUUUUUAUUAAAGAUAUGUAAUUUGUAUAAAAAAUAAGCACUCAAAAUAAAUAAAUCAUCUUUUAUAAUACGGUUCACCAAAGUCAAUUUAAUUAAAAAGUACAAUAUAAAAAUUGUUUUUAUUUAACUAUAAAAUAAGGGUAAAUUGCACGUAAGUCUCUAAAUUAUUAGAAAAUUUAACUAAAUUUUAAAAGUUUACAAAAUAGUCAUUGGAUUAUUUAAAAAAUUUUGUUUGAGUAAUUAGACUAUAAAAUUGCCGUUGUAUGGUCUUCUCCAUAGAGGUAUUCAAACAAUUGAUUCGGUUAUUAAUCGAACGAACUAGUAUUAAUCGAAUUGUAUAAUCAUUUAAUAGUUAAUCGAAAUUUAUAUUUUUUUUUGUUUUUUUAUUAAACAAAUAUAAAACAUAUAAAAAAUACAUUGAUGAUGUUCAUUUGUCUUGAAAAUUAACUGAAUUAACCGAAAAUUAAGCCUUAAAACACUACAUAAUUAUUAGUUCGGUUAAUUAUCUGAUUUCGAACCGAAUUAACCGAUAAUGAAAUUCCAAAAAAUCAUUGACCGACCUUCGAUCAAACUAAGUUCGACUACCGACCGAUUAACUAAAUUAGAUCGGUUCAGUCGGUUAAUUAGAUUUUAAUCGAAAUAUGAACACACCUACUUCUCCAUUCACACCACCAACACCAACUGAAAACUUUCGUUUUCCUCUUCUUGUAUGAUUUAGUUUUUUUUUUUAUGGAAUAACUUUGAAUGUCAUAAAUCUGUAAACCAAAAUUUAAAUAGUUUUCUUAUCCAAUCUCCAACAUUGAUCAUAUUAUGAUCAACUUAAAUCUAAAUUAUGUUUGUUUACUCAUUAAUAAGUACCGUUUGUUGAAUUGCCGCUUAAAACUCGUCAGUUAGGCUUGUAAGAAAAAAAAACUUAACAAUUCAAUAACUUAAAUGAAAACUUUCAAAUAAUUUAAUGACUAUAUUGUAAAAUUAUGAAAUUAAGUAACCAAAAUAUAAAAUUACAAUAAUUCAAUACCCUUUAAUUUAAUUUAAUUAAAAAUUAUAUUUUUAAAAAUAUAAAAAUUUCAAUGCAAAACUGGAAAGCAAUUGGAAUAGAUGAAUACUAUCAUAAAAAUUUUAAUUUAAUUUUGAUGUGACUAAUCAAUUUAAAAAUUUAAAAUUAUGAAGAAAUUAGGUAUUUAAUUUUUUAUGUAACGAUAAGAUUAAUUAUAUUUUUUUCCUCUCAAAACAACAGAAAAGCAAUUAAAAAAUUAGGUGACGUCAGAUCCCUCGUGCGGCCAAACCCUAAACCUUCCCACUUUUUUUUUCUUCCUACCUAACCGAAUAAAAUUUAAAAAGAAAAAAAAAUUCUAUUUUUCUUGCUCUCUUCAUCAAUUUAGAACAUAAUUUAUUUUCCUCCUUUAUUUUCCUUUUUUCUUUUCCAUUGCUUUGAAUAAAUUUGCUGUGAUCUUUGAAAAUCAUGGCUUACGCAUCUCGUAUCAUCAAUCACUCUAAAAAGGUACCCAAUUCACGAUUCGUUACUUGUAUGUAUGGAUAAUGGAUGUAUGUAUGGAUGACUUUGAGUCAGUCCUAGAUUCAAAUUCGUUUAUAGAUCAUGGUCGAAUUGUAGCUUUUUAUUUAUGUUUUUUUUUAGCUUUGUUAUUUGUUCUGAAUUUCUGUUAUUACAGUUAAGGAAUGUUCCUAACUUAUUGCGGCAAGAUCAUGCUGUUUUGGUUCGUUGCUUUUCCAAUGGAGCACAAUCCUCUGUUUGUAAAAUUGAAGGUACAUAAUGCUAUCCAGAUAGUUUUCUUACUUGUUUCUCAUGUAUGUUAGGGUGGAAAACUUAAAGAAUUGAACAUAUGAAUGUUGGGCUUGUACCUGUAUCUGAUACUCACACUUGAGUCCGAGUAGCAUAAAUAUCAAGCUUUCUACAAUCAUUAAGCAUAAGAGCUAUUUUGUGUUUUAUUCAGCUAAGUAGACAAUCAAAAGCCUCCCAGUUAGAUGGUUUUAUUGAAGGUUUUAUCAUAUCUUGUAAGGUUUGCUUAUAUUUCUUGCUAGGUUCACUCGUACCAACCGGCUGGUUUACUAAUUUUUACUUUUUAACUUGUAAUUGUAUUUAGUGAGAGGUAAUAAUUUGUCAGUUUUCUGAAAGCAUAAUGGAGUCGAUAAAAUUUUGGUUAUGCAGCUGCAGAAAGAGAGAGGGUAUCCAAGUUUGUUGCAUGUAACCAUGUAAGUGCCUCCUCUUUUUAUCAUGGGUGGAGCAAUAAUUAGUGUAGCAUUUUUGUUUCAUAAUUUUCCUUUUUCUUUGCUGCAGACUAUGCUCUGCUUGUGUAUUACAUUCUUGAUUGAAUUCAAGACUUGGUUUGCCAAUACUAGCUGUUCCACAUCUUGUUAUGCAGGUAUCAUCUGGUUUACCUAGGAACAAUUGUUCUAGGGCAAUAAUGAGAUUGGGAAUUCCAACAGUUGGUGUGGCAUACAGCAGAGAGCUCACAUGGUAUUCAUUCCAGCAUUUUUUGUGAUCUUAUUGGAAAAUUUUACUAUUUCCUAGUAAUGGCUUUUUAAUCAUUUCAAGCAUCUAAACAUUUUCCCUCUAUCCAUUAUCAGUUCUCAGGUACAGUCAAGGAGAGGAUUUGCAUCAGAUGCAGGUAUAGAUUAUUGCUUUAAAUGUCAUAGGUUGUACUGGUAUCUUCUACUUUGUAUUCUCUGAAGGAGCCUAUUUUUUAAAUUGUGAAAAGAUGUGCACUGACUAGUGAUUACAACAAGAAUGUGUGUUUAACUUAUGAACCUACUAACUUCAUGCCAAAUGCUAAUUUGUGACUUAAUUGAUGAGCUGUAAUAUUAUAUUAUUCUUAAUUCCUUCUGUGGCUUGUUCAAUACCCUUCUUUAUGGGACAGCUCAGAUGAUAGGAAUGUAGUUUAUGGGUAAUAAAUUUGUGUAAUAUGAAGCUUGUUUAUCUGGUUUCUGAAUAAUAAGUAAUGUGACUGCACUAUAUUUAAGAAGCAAGGCAUUAUUACUAUAGUUCAUUCUUCUUCUCUCUUUUACAAGGCAUUGCUAUAGAACCUUUCUUUAUUACUAUUUUUGUUGUUCUAGUUUUAUCACUUAGGUUAUGCUGGAUUGAUGUAGCAUAUUUAGAUUUUUCAAGUUGUUUUCACCAGUAUAUAGGUUUGUUAUAUUUAUGGCUGAGAACAUGGCAGUUGAAAUGAUGUUUAAAAGUGUUUUAAGUUGAACCCUGUGCAUCGGUUCAAGGGUUUUACAUUGUUUAUUAACUGUUUCAUCAUUUUUUGUUGCAUGACAUACUCAAUAUUGCUAAUAUUAUAAAGUUUCAAGCCUCCCUCCUCACCAAGAGAUCGGAAUGCCUUCACUCUCUCCCACAAUGACAGAGGUGUGAACUGUUCUAGAUCUUUGCAAAAUAUCAUAAAAUAUUUUGUGGUUUUCUUUUAAGUUUUCCAUUUAUGCAGGGAAAUAUUGCUAGAUGGUUGAAGAAAGAGGGUGAUAAAGUGAAUCCUGGCGAAGUGCUGUGCGAAGUUGAAACUGUAAGGUUUUCUCCUGUCCAGAUAAAAUUUCUUCAUUUACUUUGCUCUUAUCAGAAGCCAGUAUUUUAUUUUACAACUUUGUUUAUUGUUUGAAGGAUAAAGCAACCGUUGAGAUGGAAUGCAUGGAAGAAGGUUACCUUGCCAAGAUUAUAAAGGGAGAUGGAUCAAAAGAAAUCAAAGUUGGUGAGGUAAUGAUUUUGUGGCAGUCAUGUGCACAUAUUUAUCUUUCUUUGGUCCUCCCUUUUGUGGAUAGGGGAGUUUGUAUGACUAGUAAAUAAAGAAGCAGCAUCUUGGCUUUGUAUUAGAUCUUCUGUCUGUUGCUCUUUUGCUACCAGAAUCAAAUACAAUUUAUGUCAAUAUUUGUGCAGUUAAUAUUAUUUAUUUGUUCUUGUGUAGAUAAUUGCCAUCACCGUUGAAGAGGAGGAGGAUAUUGCAAAGUUCAAGGACUAUAGUCCUUCAACAUCAGAUUCUGGUGCUCCUGCAGCAAAGGAGCCAGCAGCUCCUCCACCUAAGCAGGAGCCUGUUCAACAACCAGUUAGUUCACCAGAGGCUAAGUCCAAGCCCUGUUCACCUCCUUCGGAAGAUCGUCUUUUUGCAAGUCCACUUGCAAGAAAAAUGGCUGAAGAUCACAAGGUCAGUUAUAUUAUAUAUGAGUGCCGUAACUGGGAUUUUCUUGUUGAGAGAAAAGUCGUUACUAUAAGGAUAGAUUAUAGAAUCAUUUAUAUCAAUCUCUUUUAACAUUUCUCCACUCCUUUGGAUAAAAAUAUAGGUACCUCUCUCUAGUAUCAAAGGAACAGGUCCUGAUGGGCGCAUUGUGAAGGCUGAUAUUGAAGAUUACUUAGGUAUCAUAUUUAAAUUUCUGCAGCAUAACCAAUGCUGUUGCAAAUUUUGACCCUGAUGAGUAAUGCUAUAUAGUAAAGAAUGGCUCUUCCCCCCUCCAACAAAUCCUUUUGCCUUUUCAGUAUCUUCAAUAGUAUUGGUUUCUGUAUUACUGUCACUGCUUGUGAUUACUGGGGUGUUUUCACUUUAUUGUAGCUUCACGUGGGAAGGAUGUUUCAGCACCAACACCUAAGACAAAGGAUGGAAAACUUGAAGCUCUAGAUUAUGUAGAUAUCCCUCAUUCUCAGAUAAGAAAGGUUAGUUAAAAAUUGUCAUUAUUUUUAUAAUUUUAAUGAAAGUUCGAAGUUGUUAAGCAUUUAUGGUACAUGGGCUUUAUUCUAUGCAUCUACUUCUUAGUAGAUGGUCCCCUUUGUAGAAUUUAUGCAUUUGAUUUUGUUUUUGUGAUAAUCUGCAUUAAAUUUGAAAGGUAACCGUGCUACACGGCGGGAUUUAGAAGAUGUAAUUAAUUUUUUUCUCAAUUACUGUUCUGUUAUGAUGGUAUUUAUUUGAUUUAUGUGACGCGUUUGAUAAAUGUGUAUUUUCUGAACUUCAAUUAGUAAGGAAAAGAAAUAGGUAUAGCAAUAACAUUUUUUUUAUCUCAGCAAUGUUUGAGGAACAAUUUUCCUAUUUUUAAUUUUUAAAAUACAAAUUAGUUGAGUUUUUGCUUCAACAAGAAGCAUAUGACUUUCCAAUAAGUUUGUUAUUAUUAUUUUUUUGUAAGCUUUAGUAGAGUGUUGUAAUUUUUUUUUUUAAUUUGAAGAAUGAUUUGAAUUUUUUUCUAAAUACAAUCCUCCCAGCCUAACCCCCAAGUACACCAAGGUCAGAUAGGCAUCAUCUACUUACAGAUUGGUUUUUCAAAUUUUUUGAAAUCUCACAAUACCCUUAGUAAUUCUCAAAAUACCUUUUCUUGAUCUUUCUGAAGAUCAUCUCUGUGCGAAUAGUUUGACAUUUGUAGGUUACUUUAAUGAUAUACAUUAGAAAAAUCAACAUGUAGUGUUAAAUUUUUGAAAAGUUUAAGGUAAAUAAAUCUGUAGAAAACGUACCCAAAACAUGGUCCCAUGAGAAUUCCAGUCUCACUGGUUCCAAUGAAUUGGGUAGAAGCACCCUCCAAUCAUAGGCCUAAGGCAAGAGUGUGUCAAAAAGGAUUGGCAACUUUAAAUAGCACAAAAUGAGUGGGUAUUGAUAUAUAGAGGUUACAUAUUUUAUUAUUAUUUUGCCUAUCAUUUAUCACUGCUGUUUUUUCUACCCUAAUCUCACAAAACUAAAAGCUGGAAACCCUUCUAAAAUAACCAUCCUUGUGGCACUCUUAAAUACCCUAAAAUUGCCUGAGUCAGAAAUCAACUUAUUAUUAAAUAGCAAAGUUCCAAAUUUGACCAUUUUUGCAUGAGAAUACAGAGAAGUCGGUAUCUUUUAACUUCUUUGUUGUCUCCUCAUUUCAAUGUCAAUUACUUUGUUUCUUUUAUAAUAAUGUGCUUUGUGAGUCUAAUUUCUGCUAUCAUUUUUGACAGGUCACUGCAUCAGGCUUAUUAAUCUCAAAGCAGACCAUCCCACAUUACUAUUUAACAGUGGAUACAUGUGUUGACAAACUUCUGGAGUAAGUAAUAUUGCUUUGAUCUGUAAAAGUAUCAUGGACGUCCUUGUACUAAGAGUCAGAUUGCAUUUUUCCUCCUCUAAUAAAAAACCUGACUAAUUUGCUCUUUGCUCUUUGAUUUAACUUAUAGGGACUAAUUUGCCCAUUUUUUGAGUAGGGGAGGCAAAAUGCAAUCUGACUUCAAGAUACUUUUACCUGCUUUGAUCUUUUAAAUGGUAUGCAAUUAUAUGAUAUAUCUGAUAAUUUUGAAUUGUUUCUUUGCAUGCAGUUUGCGAAGCCAACUCAACUCAUUACAGGAAGCUUCAGGCGGGAAGCGUAUUUCUGUCAAUGAUCUUGUAAUCAAGGUAAACAACUUUCCUUCUGUUUUUUUUUUUCUUUUGUUUUUCCCUUGAAGUUCAAGGUUGACAACUUUCAAUACGUUUAAUUGUCGAGCUUUGAGAUGUUUGAAGUGGUUCCUCAUUUGUUGCUUUUGAUGUGGUCCAAGGUUUUUCCUAUAGGUUUUUGUGAAAUGGCAAGUGGUUAUUAUAAUGUUGAUUUCACAUGGCAAUUCUUGAUCAAGUUCAUGCCUUGUUACAUGUAUUUGCUUUUUCGUCCAUAUUAACCUUCAAUCAUUACAUGAAAUUACAUAACCAUUUCUCAAAUCAUUGUUUUCUUUUGGAAAUAUUUAAUUCAAAUGUAGUCUGAAAUGAAUGCUUUCACGUAAAUGGUAAUAUACUGCUUCUGCAGAGAAGAAAUUAGUGCAUAUUUGAUUUUUCCUAACUAAACCGCCAUUAGAAUAUUGCAAUUUUCAUUUAAGAUACUUAGAAGUCUUUUUUGACUGCAGGCUGCUGCAUUGGCUCUCCGGAAGGUUCCUCAGUGCAAUAGUUCAUGGACAGAUGACUAUAUUCGCCAGUGAGUAUAUAUUUACUGACAAACCGAUCAAUUCACUAGUGAUAAACCGAUAAUGCAUAUCAUUAUGACUCAUCUUCUUCUGCUUCUAACCCAGGUAUAACAAUGUCAAUAUUAAUGUAUCAGUGCAGACAGAAAAUGGACUUUAUGUCCCUGUGAUCAGGGUGCGCAAUCAUUUCAACUUAUUGCUGUUUUCCUCAUUCUGUCCGUACUUUUCUAGUUUAACUGAUCCCUUUAUUUUACGUAUUGCAGAAUGCAGAUAAGAAAGGAUUGUCCUCAAUUUCUUUGGAGGUCAAGCAGUUGGCACAAAAAGCCAAAGAAAAUAGCCUAAAACCCGAAGAUUAUGAGGUAAAUAAUUAUGGAUAGGAUAGUAUGAUAGUGUCAUUGGAUCUAUAUGGAUUAUAUACAUGUCGGGUUUUGUCUCUUUGCAGGGCGGUACGUUUACAGUUUCUAACUUGGGAGGGCCCUUUGGUAUCAAGCAAUUUUGUGCCAUAAUUAAUCCUCCUCAAUCAGGAAUCCUCGCUGUCGGGUCUGGUAAGAUUUUCCCUUAAAUUUUCCCAACUCAAGUCAUAUUCACUCCUCCUUCGUAAUCACUGGAAUUCACUGUGUACAGCUGAGAAAAGGGUUAUCCCUAGCUCCGGUCCCGAGCAGUUCCAGUUUGCAUCGUUCAUGUCCGUAACACUAAGCUGUGAUCAUCGUGUCAUCGACGGUACAUAGUUCUAGACUUCCAGUAAUAAAUGAUUAAGCCAAGUUAAACAUCGAACAUCAUCUCAGUGUCCUUUAGGCACACAAAUCUAAUUAACUCGACUUACUGUUCUCUUAGGUGCAAUUGGUGCUGAAUGGCUUAAAGCUUUCAAAGGCUACAUUGAGAAUCCGGAAUCAAUGUUGCUCUAAAUCAACCGGUGAUUCUGGCUUUUCUUUUUGGUUUUAGACACAUUUCCCUGCUAUGAUUAUUUUCACAAUGGGGCGUUGAGUGCAUUACACAUAUUCCGAAUCGAUUUUUGUCACACCGAAUUAAUAUUUUUCGGGAAUAAGGAAGAAGGAUCGAUAGACAAUCGAGGAACUGGAGUUCACCUCACAUAGAAUGUAAUAACCCCCAUUUCACAUAGGUCCCUUAUACUGUGAAUAAAACUUGGAAAUGAUUUUUCGGGUAUAGGCAAUUGCUAAACCCAUCACAUUUUCAUUGCUUUUUCUUAACUAUAAUCAGAAUGCUUCCACUUUGUUAUGAUUUAGCAUCAUUAUUCUUUUCUUUGUUUGAAUCAACAACUCCUAAGACCGAGAAAUUAAAUCUAGAAAAUCGUAUACUUAUUCGAACAGUAGUUUAGAUAUGUAAUAUUUUUCCAAUAAUAAACAAAACUCUCAAAAUUUCGUGUUACUACAAAUAUAUUUCUCUCAUUAUAAUACUUACUAUAAAUUUUGUAAUGGAUUAUGCAACAAAAAUUACAAUAUAUUACUCGAUUGUAUCAUUUAUUAUUGCCUGCAUAAUAUUUUGUGUAAAGUAGUGUUAUUACAAAAAAUUUCACCUUAAAUAUUACCUAAAUACACAAAUUAUUACGUCUCACCCUGAUGUAUGCUACACGAAAAUACACAUUCUAUUUUAAUAUUUUUCAUAACAUAAAAUUACAUUUUCACCCUUAUUUUGAUAAGUAUUAGUUCAAAUAGUUUAAUUAUGUCUUAACUAAAGUUCAAGUUUAAAAAUUAAUUCUCGAUUAAAUUCAAAUCGUGUAUUAAAUCUCAAAUUUUAAGUCAAAUUCAAGUUUAUAAUUACUCAAGUGUAGCUUGGUUAUAUAUAUUUAUAUGCUAUUAAAUUUUGAAUUGGUAUUUGGUACUUUAGUAGUAUUUUUUGUUAUAAGUAGCCUUGAAAAAUUGACAUUUAUCUCUUUUUUAAUAUUUUACAAUAAUCUAUAGGACACUUCUCAAUUUCCUCUACACAAGCAUAGCUAGGAUAUUGACAAGUAUUUUAUAUGAUUAUAGUAAAAUAUUAAAAAAUAAAUAUUUAAAAACACAAAUAGUAAUUUUUAAAUUACUUAUAAAAUAAAAAAAUACAUUAAUAAUGUAUCAAAUAGUAAUUUUAUAAAAUUUAAUAAUUACCAUGAACAAUAAAGCUAGUUUUUUUCAACCGGUUGGACCAAAACUUAGGUAAGAGAAAGUGAAAGGCUGGGCUUGAUCCGGCUGAUGAAACAUUUUAGUCAUAAAAGUCAACAAGUUUUCCUAAGCAUGUGCUGGGACACACGCAAUACUUUCAAUGGAUAUGGACUACACGUCAUCAACACAGUCACCCUCACGGAAACCGGUUUAAAUCCUCUGCAUCACCGCCUACGUUAUACAAAAUACAAAUAAUCCAAACAUUGGAAUUAACAAAGUGAAAUUAAAUAAAGAGAAAAAUCACUAUUUGAAUUUAAUUUGGCUACAACUUUUAUGUUAGAAUUUGAAGUUUUUUUUUCUAAAUUAGUCAUUAUUUUCAUAUAGAAGCUUAAAUUAAGUAAAUGUUUUUAUAUUGUUGAAUUUUUUUUUUAAAUUAGUCCUUGAACUUGACAAUAUUACCAAGUUGAAUCACCAGAGCUUUCUUUAAUAAAGUGUUAAAAAUUUAAUAUUUUCAAUAAUUUAGACACAUUUGAUAGCCCACAGUGAAAAUUAAAAACUACUGUUUUCUAUUAUAAAUAGUAGAAAAUGAUAAGUAGAUAGGCACUAUUCUGUAUUAAAUUUUAAACAAUUUACCCAACAAAGUUUAUAAUUUAAAUUUAACACUUAUUUUUCAAUUUAUUAAACAUAGCUUAACAACGGUUAAGUUUAGAGACUAAAUUAGAAAGAAAAAAAAUUUAGAUCCUAAUAUGACAAUAAUUACUAAAUUCAAACUAAAAAAAUUUAAAUAAAAAUCUAAUCAAAUCGACCUCUCGAAUCUCGAGACAUAAACAACUCUAGUGCAAAUUCACAAACCUACUAAGUUAUCAAUGGGUGAAAUUUGAUUCAUCUUAGAGAACCAACCGCAGAGAAUUAAAAAGCUUUAAAAUAAUGAUAUAUACACAUACAUAUACCUAAUCUAUAACCGACACUUGUCAGUUUCCCCUUCUUUUACUGUACAACAAAUUCUCUUCCUUCCUCAAAUCUUUCACCGUUAAUUUCCGGUCACCCACUUCUUUAAAUAACCCUAUUUUUUCCCUUCAGUUUUUCUAUUCUAUAUUUUUAAACUUCAUUUGUCACUAUUUUGCUCUCACUCUUGCGAGAUCCGAACUCACCGGAGUUCCGUCGCCGGCGGGGACGACGAUGGUCGAGUCUCCCGUUAGCUGAUUAAUAGAAAUCGUAUAUGUUCUAAAUUCGAUCGAUUAAUCAAUCUCUUUUUCUUUUAUCCCCGAAAGGAAAUGAUAGAUCCCUGUGCUGUAAUUAACGUUCGAUCCAAAACCUGGUUUCGCAAGAGAAAAAAAUCCCGUUCAUAAUUUUCAUUGUGACGGUGGUGUUGGGCUUUUCUCUAUUUGUAUAGUUUCAAUGUUAAUUUCUUGAUUUUUUUUUUGUAUAUAUUUCCGAUCAUACAUAUAUAGGUAGAUAUAUUGCUUCUUCUUUUUAAAAUUUUUUUGGGUAUUUUUAGGGUUAGGGUUUUUUCGAGUCUUUGAAAGUGGCAAAGAUGAAUAUAAGUGCGGCCGAGGAAGAUUCGGCGCAAGAGAUUCAUAUUCCGGCUGAUAUAAAUUGGGAAAUGCUUGAUAAAUCCAAGUUUUUCUUCUUAGGUGCGGCGUUAUUUUCCGGCGUAUCGGCGACCCUUUAUCCCGUAGUUUUAGUCAAAACACGGCAGCAGGUUGCUCAAGUAAAACUUUCCGGCAUCAGAACGGCGUUUUCCAUCGUUAAACAUGGCGGUUUCCAGGGAUUAUACCGAGGUUUCGGCACUUCAUUAAUGGGAACAAUCCCAGCUCGAGCACUUUACAUGGCUGCCCUUGAAGUAACCAAAAGUAAUGUAGGGAGCACCACUGUUAAAUUAGGGUUUCCUGAACCAACGGCAGCGGCGAUAGCUAAUGCGGUCGCCGGAUUAACCGCCGCGAUGGUGGCUCAACUUGUUUGGACCCCAAUUGAUGUGGUUAGCCAAAGGCUAAUGGUUCAAAGUAGCCCAUCACAAUGUAGAUAUGUAAAUGGGAUUGAUGCCUUUAGGAAAAUAGUGAACUCACAUGGUCCAAAGGGAUUAUAUAGAGGCUUCGGUAUAUCAAUUUUAACAUAUGCACCAUCAAAUGCAGUAUGGUGGGCAUCUUACUCAGUUGCUCAAAGACUUGUUUGGGGAGGCAUUGGAUGUUACUUAAAAGGCGGCAGGGAUGAAACAAUUCGGCCUGAUUCAAAGACGGUAAUGGCGGUUCAAGGAGCGAGUGCGGCAAUGGCAGGUGGGAUAUCGGCAUUGAUCACAAUGCCGCUCGAUACUAUCAAGACCCGGUUACAGGUCUUAGACGGAGAAGAGAACCGGCUGCGCGGACCGACAAUCGGGCAAACCGUGAGGAAUUUGGUUAAAGAAGGAGGAUGGCUUGCUUGUUAUAGAGGAUUGGGACCAAGGUGGGCUUCAAUGUCAAUAUCUGCAACAACAAUGAUCACUACUUAUGAGUUUUUGAAACGAUUAUCAGCUAAGAACCAAGAGGGCUUGUUGUAAAUGAAGAUCAAUAGGCUAUGUUACUCAAAUACGGGUAAAUAUUCAAUACAGAAAAUGAAGAGUUUGAGCAAUAUAUAACCAAAAAAAAAAAAAUGGAAAAACAUGUUUUUUUUUUUUUGCUUUGGGUUCUUUGAUUUUUGUCUAAAUUAUGCUUUGAUAUAUAUAUAUAACUUUAAGUCUAGCCUUGGUUUUGGUUGGUGAAUGUAAAUGUGGUUGCAGGUUUAAAUAUAAAAUAUACUUCCUCUACACUAGUUACCCUUUGGAUGAACUUAUGGUUUAUGAAGGAUUUUAAGAAAUUGUGAAAUUUUUUUUAUGUUAUUUAGAUUCAUAUGUUAAUAUUUUUUUUUAAAUAUAGGUUUAUUAUAAUAUCAUUUGUUUAAUUAUACGGAUAGUAAGCGAAUUCUUUUUAUUAAUUUAAGUUCGAUUUAAAAAUUAUAUAAAUCGAUAAUGACGAUAGGAAUGAUCGUAAAUUAAUAAAAAAAAUAAGAACAUGUUGAUUUUACAUAGAAAAUAUCACAGAUAAAAAGAGAAAUUUACUAAUAUUGAAAAAUGAUAAUAUGCAUAGUUUUUAAGGUUAAUCAACUCAUCUAAUAGAAGUAGUUCGGCCCUUAGACAUUCGUCCCCAUAAAUUAGAGAUGAUCAUGGGUUAAGUUAGGUCCAAACAAAAUUUUAAGCCCAUUUAUUAGUUUUGGGCCUAAUUUGGCCCAAAAAUUUGUCCAAGCCUGAUGGGAAUAAAAAUGUUAAAAUUAGGGCUCGACCUGGCCUGCUCAUAUUAUUAAAAAAAUAUAUUAUAUAUAUUUUUACAUAAUUUUUAAAUAUAUAUAAUAAUAAUAAAUACUAAAAAUAUUAAAAUAAAUAUUUCCGCACAAGUUGAAAAUAAAUUUUAAAAAUAUGUAUACUUAAAUAAUACAAUUAUAGAUGCAACUUAACAAAAAAAUGUCUCUAAAAUAAUAACAAAAUUAACAAUAAAACAAAUGUUAUAGUGUUAUACGAUAUUCAAACAAUAAUAACAAAAUUGUAGUAAUAUAAUAGUGAAAUGGUAGCAAAAUAGAAAAAAAAAAAGAAAAAGAAAAUACCAUUAAAAUGACAAAAAAAUACAAUUUUUUUUGUCAUUUAGUGAAUUCGAGUCAAGUUAGACUUGGGCCAAAAAUGUCUUACCUGAAGCUCGACCCAUUUUAAAAUAGACCUUAUUUUUUCCCAAAACCCAUUUUUCGGGCUAAUAUUUUUGCCCAAAGCCUCCCACUUUCAGGCGGGCAUUUCGGUCGAGCACAAAUAUCUAAUUUUGUCUUUCUAUUUUAUUUCUUUAACAAAUAAAUUAACCUGGUUAAACAAGAUUCGGAUCACAUAACUCUAAUAAUAUAUAUAUAUAUAAUCUAAAUUUCAAAGUUUUGACAAAAUACUAUAAUUAUUGGAACGAAAACUUCUCAGUAAUAGGAAUGACCGAAGAGAAAGUAGAUAAGUUGUCACUAAGCUAAUAGUUGGCAAAUUCUCGUGUUAACAUUAGAUAUCUAUAUUAUUUAAUAAUUUGAUUCAGUGCCAAUGGCUUAAAUUUAACUGUAAAAUUAUCAAAAAUUCAUUAUUUAAUUUUAAAAAACUGUACAUCUAAUAAAAUUUAAACUUAAAAUAUAAUUGCCUUUACCAUGUCAACUUCAUCGUUUCAACCUAAUCGGUAUAUGAUUAUCAUAUCAAACUUUUAUAAUAUAUUGCAUAAUUUUUUUUUCAAUUAGGUAAAUCAUAAUUUAUUAAAUAUAUAUUUAAAGAAAAUGCUUUUAUUUUUAAAAUUUUUAUACGUUCAAAGAAGUUUUGAAAGAAUAUGUUUACGAGACUAAGUUUGCUCAAUUGAUUUCAAAACUUUCAUGUAUUUAACAAGUAUCUUAUAAAUAAAUUAUAUUUGGAAGGAUAUGAGAAAUAAGAAUUUGCAGAAUCAUUUUAUUUUUCACUAAUUAGUUAUUUGUUUUAGAAAAGAAUAUAUAUUAUUCAAAUUCAAGAGUUAGUACUCACACACAAACCAUAAGGAUAUACUCACGUUACAUAUAUUACAUUCAAAAGAAAGCUAUUGAAAUAAAGUACUACAUGCGGGAUGAACAACUUAUAAUCACGAGACCAAAUAAAAAUUUUAAAAUCGAAUUCUAUAAUGACUAUUUCUAUUACAAUUAUCUUAUUUUUUUAAUCAAAACUUCAACUCCACUAAUCCAUCAUUAUCAGGUUUAUAGUUCACAGAAUAUAACAUUACACUUUAUAAUAAAAUUAUUGAAAUAUAAAAUCAUUUAACAUAUUUAUUAGGUAUACAAAUUUUGUUUGUUUCAUUGUCAAGAUAUAAAAUAAUUUAAAAGCAAAUUUUAUAAAAUAAUUUGUUUUUUAAAUUAUGAUUAUUGUUUAAUAAGCAAAAGUUAGGCUUAUUGUCUUUUAUUUCACAGUUGUGGUCCUUUAGUAAAUCAAUUUCAUAUAUUUUUUUCAGAUAAAUAAAAUAAAAUUGUGAAAAACAGUAAGCAAGUAAAAGUCUCCUUUUGUCAAAGUGACAAAAACAAGAGUAAAUUUGUUAUAAAAGUUGCAUGUCAACCAAAAUGGAAACUAAUAUAACAUUAUUAUCUACUAAUUUCUAUAUUAUACGUUAACCCACUAAUCUAAUACCCAAUUAUUUUACGAAAUAAUAAUAUAUUAUGUGAGUUUUUAUCUAUUUAUUUUUAUAUAAAUUUUUUUAAAAAUAUAUAUAUACUUAAUGAAAUUUGAAUUCAACUAAUACUUUAUUUAAUUUUUUUUAUUUUUUUAUAAAUAUAUUUGUUAAAUGAAAAUUAUUUCCAUAGUAACUUAAAUCUAGUAAAAAUAAAGAUAUUGCUAUUUUUUUUUAAUUGAUAUAAAACACUCAACCACAGAUAUAAAUUCCAUUUUUCACAAACUCAAUAACAUUACCAAUAACCAAUCAAACACAUAAAUCUUUUUUUUUAAUUAAAUAUUAAUUAUAUCUCGAAACUGACAUCCAAAUUCAAAUAUCAAACAAAUUCAUCAUCAUCCUUGAAGGUUAUUUAGCAAAGAAUGGGGCAAUUCAAUCAUCAAUGAAUGAAAAAAAGGACAAUAAUAUAAUAAUAUAAACACAAUACUAUCUUUGAACCACAAAUUGAUCCAAAACUAUCAAAAUAUUAAAAACAAACAAUCAGAGAGAGAAGUUCAGGUUAGUUGAGAAAAGCUAGAAAUUCAAAGACAUGGAUGAUAAUGAAGCAUAUAGAGGGGUUUUAUAAAAUUAUUUCCCAUGACAGAGUAUAAAUAUUACCCUGUAAGCUGGAAAUAUAUGAGGUGUUCAAGAAAAUAACCUAUCCCAUCUUUCUUGGGACGGCUACGGCUUUUGUUUCCACUUCAUCUGAGCAGUCACUUGAAACUUCUUUUUUAUUCUUUUUUGAGCAGAAGCACGGCUCCAUGAAUGCUGUCAGCGAGCUACUACUGGUUAAUAAUCUCGUCCUUUGUAUUGCAUGUCCUGCCAAAACAUAGUUCCAGUUUCUAUUAGGAUUCCCACAAGGACUGCAAUGUUUUUGGUACUAAAUGAAAUACCAAUACUGGUUUUUUCGAGGAAAAAAGAAGAAACUAGUCUAUAUUUAUCACGAUGUGAAAACCUAACCCGGUCAACAUGAACCUAAACCAGACCUAACCCCUAUUGACCAUAAAAGGCCGACAAGCCGAACAAAAAUGACAAAUCCAACCUGCCUAAUUGAUAGGUCUAGUUCCGGUGCUACUCAAACUCAGAAGCGAGUGCUAAAUGGGAGUCCGUGCCCAAAAGGGAUAUGCCAAAUAUUUUCAUGUUCCAUUGUGUAUUUUAAGGUGAAAUGAAGAGUUGGGAGUAACUAUACAAUUUUCCCUUCAGAGCAAACAAAUGAAAUUUAGGACGUAGUUUAAAGAAAAUUCUCUAGUGCCAUGUUCGGGAACAAGAUUUUGAAAUUUUGGAUUUGGAUUCGGU